This 1992-nucleotide unclassified non-coding RNA is filed under the name Megachile rotundata (alfalfa leafcutting bee). RNAcentral describes it as "retinoblastoma-binding protein 5 homolog, transcript variant X1". The record is from RNAcentral. Lineage: Eukaryota; Metazoa; Arthropoda; Insecta; Hymenoptera; Megachilidae.
AUAUUCUUUUGGAGUAAUAAAUACAUCUUCAACUUAGAAACUAGAUACAUGCUACCAACAUUCAGCUUUACUAUGAAAAGCAUAAUAAUAAGUUAGCCAUCUUCUGUGUUUAGAAGAGAAUAAAAACGAAAGCAACAAUAAGUCAUAAGUAAAUAACACCGUCGCAAAAUAAUUCUCGAGCAACUUGUCUUACAUACAAGAUACGUAUAAAAGGAAAUAAAAAUGAAUUUGGAAUUAUUAGAAUCGUUCGGUCAGAAUUACCCAGAGGAGUUUGAUGGUACAUUAGAUUGCAUAUCGUUAGCAGUUACUUGUACAUUUAACAAAAGGGGAACUCUUCUUGCUGUUGGGUGUAAUGAUGGUAGAAUUGUUAUUUGGGAUUUUUUAACGCGAGGUGUUGCAAAAAUUAUUAGUGCACAUGUGCAUCCAGUGUGCUCAUUGAGCUGGUCCAGAAAUGGACAUAAGUUACUAAGUGCCUCUACAGAUAAUAAUGUUUGCAUAUGGGAUGUUUUAUCUGGAGAGUGUGAUCAAAAAUAUAGAUUUCCUUCUCCCAUAUUGAAAGUACAAUUUCAUCCAAGAAAUCUUAACAAAUUUUUAGUAUGUCCCAUGAGACAUGCAGCAGUAAUGGUUGAUGUUGAAGGCACCCAUAGAGUUAUACCUCUUGACGAUGAUAGCGAUUUAAAUAUAGUUGCAUCUUUUGAUCGCCGUGGAGAUUAUGUAUAUACUGGAAAUGCACGUGGUAGGAUUCUAGUUCUUGAUGCAGAAUCCUUAACUGUGAAAGCUUCUUAUAAAAUAUCACAAGGUACAGCUAGUAAUACAGCUGUGAAAAGUAUUGAGUUUGCCAGACGUGGUUCCUGCUUUUUAGUAAAUACAUCAGAUAGAGUUAUUCGUGUAUAUGAUAGUACUGAAGUACUUGCUUGUGGAAAAGAUGGUGAACCUGAGCCAAUACAAAAGCUACAAGAUCUUGUUAACAAAACUAUGUGGAAAAAAUGUUGUUUUUCUGGAGAUGGAGAAUAUGUAUGUGCUGGAUCUGCAAGACAACAUGCUUUAUAUGUAUGGGAAAAGAGUAUUGGAAAUUUAGUUAAAAUCUUACAUGGAACUAAAGGAGAAUUAUUACUUGAUGUUGUUUGGCAUCCAGUAAGACCAAUAAUUGCUUCAAUUUCGUCCGGUGUUGUUUCUAUUUGGGCUCAAAAUCAAGUUGAAAACUGGUCUGCAUUUGCACCAGACUUUAAAGAAUUGGAUGAAAAUGUUGAAUAUGAAGAAAGAGAAAGCGAAUUUGAUUUAAGUGAUGAAGAUAAGUCAGUGGUACAAGGUGAAGAAGCUCAGGAUGAAGAGAUAGAAGUAGAUGUUGCUUCUAUUGAUAGAGUGGCUGCAUUCUGUAGCUCUGAUGAAGAAAUGGAAGAUAUUGGUUCACUGCAGUUUUUACCAAUAUCACCAGAUGUAGAAGAUUCAGAAGAUAAUCAAACAACACCACAUGAACCACCUAUGAAGAAACAUCGUUCUCAUGAUAUUCACUUACAAGGUGCACCAGUAGAUGAAACUCAUCCAUUAUUAAAUAAAGGAAAAGAUAAACCUACAACAAAAAAAGGAAGGCCCCGGUUGGAACAUAGAAAAGGAAAAUAAUUGGAAUCAUAUUUAUAAAAUAUGUCAUAAAAUGCUUUAAUACUUCCUAUGGAAUGUUUCUUAUAUAUAUUGUUCAGUCUUACAUGUUUUUGUAUCGAAAACUUGUAUUAAGAACACAAAGUUAUUAUGUAUAUUAGAAUAAACAAAUUUUAUAUGUGUAUAUUUAAUAAAUGAACAAGACCUAGCACAUAUUGAUUAUAUAGCUAUAUUGUUCUCGGAUAUUCCAAAAUAAAAUGCACCUAACCUAUACAUAUUUUGCUACUGAAUGGCUUUAAACAAAAUUUAACUAAUCGAUAAAUGGUUUAUCUUAUCUUAUGCAGUGAACGUGCAAUAAAAAGUGCGUAGUGUCCAGAUUGACUUACAGCUACGAGG